GACUAUCUUCCACACCAUGAUAAUUCACAUUAUAUGCAUAAGCUUUUGUCCAAAGUCAACAUUUAGUAACCUUUUUUUUCUCGAGACGAAGAAAAUAUUCAUCGUUUUCAUUAAUAAGAAGAGAACUGCCUAGUUAAUUAGAGGGAAAACCAGGUGAAGACCUAGAUUACAAGUUUACAACACAACCACAUGACAACCUAACAAAGGGCACUCUCAGACAGCACGACCGUCAGUAUUUACUUACGAAUCUCUAAUAUCCGAUCUUCAAAGUUUUUAGUUAGCGCCCCUCCUUUUUCUGCCUAGCUGAUAGCUGCCAGCAACACAUUAAUUGACCCAUGGAUCUCAUGGUUGUAUGCUUUCCUUGAUAGUCUACUAAGUGUUUGAAUCACAUAAGAAAAUACAAAAGGCAGAAUUCAACCUUGUGCAACCGUCCUUUUGCAUAGCCUUUGCAUCUACUCUCUAGUUGUAGCUUCCUGGAGUACCUGUGUGGUCACCGGUUGGAUGUGUCCUUAGUUGCUCGCCAUUCGUAAAGGACAAUAACCUUGGGAGGGUGAGCCACCGGCUUGGCUUGGAUGGUUGGUUGGAGGAUCCUAAGUAGUGACAACAUGCCUGGGAGAUGCUAAGGUGGCCUUUUAGUGCUAACUCAUGUCAUGGGUGGGUUCCAGCUAGCAAUGGAGGAGUGUCCAAGUUAAAUCAGCCCAUUCCAAUUUAAUGUUGGUAGGUUCGAAAUGACAUCAAAUGUACUUGAAGUUGGUUUGAAUCAAGCUUUUCAUUCUAUUAUUUGAAAUAUCUACCAGGAAUGUCUGCAACGUGCCACCAUGUGGAUGUUUCUUGGCAUCGAUUCAACAACAUGGACCUAGCAACAAUGAGUCACGGUAGCAAACUGGUUCCGGAGAGAAUUAGUGUAAUGCAUUUCUAUUUUUCUGCAGUUGUUCACAGAUCUAUUUCUCUCCUCUUAAUUGUGAAUAACAUGCCAAAUUCGCCUUUAAUAGUAGAUAUUUAGAUAGUUUGGUGUAAAAGGACCCAUUGCACUCAUUUUUUGCAGCCAUAUAAUCGGUCCAUAUACAUGUUCUAGACCGUACAAACUAGCAUGGUGGUACUGCGAGAGUAGUUCUAAGAUAUCUUUGGGUCACCACAGCCGACCAAAAAUAUGGUGUUGAUUUUUUUUUAUUGUUGAUGUGUUAUAGAAGUGAGUUGUUUUGUUACUUCUGAGUAUCGCUGUGCUUUGUUAACUUUUGCUUCACAAUGAUGACAUGUGUGUUCAAUUUAUAAUUUAAUCUUUAAGCAAGAGGUGGAAAUUGAUCUGAGAUUCAGGAUUAUGCACCUGAUUAUUUAUACCUGUCCGAUCAUUCAUCGUCGUGUAUACCCACAUUUCGUUCCAUAUCAGAUUAUCCCUACGGGUUUGAGUAAUAUUUCUCAGAAUUGUGGUCGGGUUUAUAUGAGCAAGCUCAAGUUGCAGUGACUUAAACGCAGUUGGAAGAAAUGCACACACAAGAAAGAAGGUAUUGCAAGCGAGGUGCGCAUAUGAAGAUUGGACAGAGAAGUAGUGAAGAAAGAUGAGCACAAUUUUUUCUUCAAAAAGAAGAAGAUGGAGACUAUCAUCAAACUUUUACCUAUUUGUGUUUCUGGUGGGAUGUACAUGCGGAGAAAUGGAAAUAGUCGUAUCCAAGAAUGGAGCAAAGUGGGAGAAAUACAUCGGAGUGUGUGAACAUUUUUUUUAUAGAAAGACCAAUUGGUUCAAUACUUGGUCCCGAAACUUCACUCUAUGAUUUUGUAAAUAAAUGACAUGGCAUCCAAUUAAGAGCA
Molecule: long non-coding RNA, 1806 nt
Organism: Hordeum vulgare subsp. vulgare (domesticated barley)
Lineage: Eukaryota; Viridiplantae; Streptophyta; Magnoliopsida; Poales; Poaceae
Exons: 2
Source: RefSeq, a predicted model, not a curated record